This 67-nucleotide transfer RNA is filed under the name Onitis falcatus. RNAcentral describes it as "tRNA-Leu". The record is from RNAcentral. Lineage: Eukaryota; Metazoa; Arthropoda; Insecta; Coleoptera; Scarabaeidae.
AUUACUUUGGCAGAUUAGUGCUUUAAAUUUAGAAUUUAAAUAUAUAUAAGUAUUUAUAUAAGUAAUA